GAAGUGCCUUUUUCUUGAUCCAGCUUUCACUUGGUUGCUGUAAACUUUUGACUGUUUUCCAGAGUUCUCAUAAAAUGUGUUCUGACAGUUUCUGCUUGUUUUUUAAUGUUUCUGUGGAAGGGGAGGAGACCUCCAUGUCCUAGGAAGGGCUGGCUGUGCUCUAGAAUACCCGCUGUCUCACCACCUCUGCGAUGUCCAUCCAGCGGUGACCCUCCGCCUGUCCCAAGAGGUCUCAACGGUUUCAUCCAGGAGAGAGAGAGUACAAGUGGAGGAGGGGCAGAGAGAGAGG
Long non-coding RNA from Leopardus geoffroyi (Geoffroy's cat), 289 nucleotides. RefSeq lists it as uncharacterized. NCBI's taxonomy places the organism in Eukaryota, Metazoa, Chordata, Mammalia, Carnivora, Felidae. The record is from RefSeq and is a predicted model, not a curated record. The transcript has 3 exons.